RNAcentral lists this long non-coding RNA (1165 nucleotides) under Pan troglodytes (chimpanzee). RNAcentral describes it as "long non-coding RNA NONPTRT001018". Lineage: Eukaryota; Metazoa; Chordata; Mammalia; Primates; Hominidae. The record is from RNAcentral.
GCCAACGGCACCCCCCAGGCACACUGCAGAAGCUCCCUGUGCCCAUGGGGCCAUCUCGGCUUGUCCGUGGCCCUCGGCCCCAGGGCAUGCGUUCCCCCUACCGCAGGCCAGGUAUGGGCUGGCCCAGGCCCCGAUUUCCCAGGAUGUUCAAGUGUAGCCGCAGAAGAUAUCAGCAGGGUCUCCGAGGUCGAACUGCCAGCAGUGCAGCCAUCAAUCCUGCCACCAGGGCCAUGGGUAUCAACAACACCCACACUGACACCACCAUAAUGUGGAUCUUCCCACCUCAAGUUCUCAGACAUCUCAGGCAACCUGGGAUUUUUCUGAUCCUCUAGAAGUGCCCAGAAGCUAGCCCAGAAGCUUGGUUUGCCCUGGACCUGCAUCUCCUAGGGGCCGUGUGGGUGGUGAACAACAAAUACAGUCAUUCUGCUCAAACUGCCUUAUUCCACACAGAGGUGUUAACCAGCUGACUAUGCAGGGCGUGAGGGGAGGGUUACGGCUGAAUACUUACAGGGAAAGGCUUCAGUGACCGCAGCAGGGAUCAUAGUUUAAGACAGCAGGAGGACAGGACAAGGUCAGCAACAUAGACCAUCUUUGGUCUCAGCUCUUGAUCUGCCCCAUGAAGUAGGGGCUGUCUUGCCUUACACUCCUAACUGCACAGGGAGAAGGGUCUCUGUAAACAUCUUGGAAGGUAUUGGGAGGCACAGAUCAGAGAGGGAUAGGAUGAAAGAUUGAACCCUGAGAGUACACAAGUAUGAGGUGGAUGUGAGGUGGAUGUGCCUCUGUGUGCCUGUGAUGGUCAGCGUGUAGGUGUAGCUGCUGGUGUGUGUGUCUGAGGCCGGGAGAAUAGGAGUAUCAGUAGAUGUGGCUGAAUGUGCCUUUGUGAUUUAAUGUGCCUCUGUGACUGACUGUGAGUGUCAAGGAGCGUUUGUGAGGGUAUGGGUGUGCCGGAGAGGACAUCAGCCCUGGUAAGAAAAGUGAAGGUCAGGAGGGGGAUGGGGAACAGCCUAAAGGAGGAGAACAUGGAGAAGGGUGAGAUUCUGAGAAAGGCAUACUACCUUCGGCCCUUCAACCAUUCUCUGAGAGGGUGAGAGAAAAGAUACUUCUGAACCAGGACUAAAGAAACUCUUAUAGAAGGCAGAGGAAACAGGAGCUAGAGAUCCGAACA